CCUACGGGAGGCAGCAGUGAGGAAUAUUGGUCAAUGGUCGGGAGACUGAACCAGCCAAGCCGCGUGAGGGAUGAAGGUACAGAGUAUCGUAAACCUCUUUUGUCAGGGAACAAAGGCGGGGACGUGUCCCCGGAUGAGUGUACCUGAAGAAAAAGCAUCGGCUAACUCCGGGCCAGCAGCCGCGGUAAUACGGAGGAUGCGAGCGUUAUCCGGAUUUAUGGGGUUUAAAGGGUGCGCAGGUGGUCUGUUAAGUCAGCGGUCAAAGCCCGGGGCUCAACCCCGGCCCGCCGUUGAAACUGGGAGUCUCGAGUUGGAGAGAAGUAUGCGGAAUGCGCGGUGUAGCGGUGAAAUGCAUAGAUAUCGAGCAGAACUCCGAUUGCGAAGGCAGCAUGCCGGCUCCACACUGACGCUGAGGCACGAAAGCGUGGGUAUCGAACAGGAUUAGAUACCCGUGUAGUC
RNAcentral lists this ribosomal RNA (459 nucleotides) under uncultured bacterium. RNAcentral describes it as "partial 16S ribosomal RNA". It matches the Rfam family "Bacterial small subunit ribosomal RNA", at positions 338 to 795 of the family's 1533-position model. The record is from RNAcentral.